Molecule: ribosomal RNA, 318 nt
Filed under: uncultured eukaryote
Lineage: Eukaryota
Description: partial 18S ribosomal RNA
Rfam family: Eukaryotic small subunit ribosomal RNA
Source: RNAcentral
CCCUUAGAUGUUCUGGGCUGCACGCGCGCUACACUGGUGCACUCAACAAGUUUACAACCUUGAUCGAUAGGUCUGGGUAAUCUUUUGAAUAUGCACCGUGCUAGGGAUAGAUUAUUGCAAUUAUUAAUCUUGAACGAGGAAUUCCUAGUAAAUGCAAGUCAUCAGCUUGCGUUGAUUACGUCCCUGCCCUUUGUACACACCGCCCGUCGCUCCUACCGAUUUCGAGUGGUUCGGUGAACCUUUCGGACCGGCAAUGCCUCGUGUUGCGCCGGAAAGUCAAGUAAACCAUAUCACUUAGAGGAAGGAGAANUCGUAACA